This is a long non-coding RNA of Bufo bufo (common toad), 747 nucleotides long. RefSeq lists it as uncharacterized. The transcript has 2 exons. NCBI's taxonomy places the organism in Eukaryota, Metazoa, Chordata, Amphibia, Anura, Bufonidae. The record is from RefSeq and is a predicted model, not a curated record.
ACAUGUGGACUUUCCGCUUUAUAAUCCAAAGAGUGAAGUCUGCAGCAAUUUAAUCUGAAAUCUGCAUCCACAUCCCCAUUUAGGAGUCGCUGAGCCUUCACAAAACUUCUGAUGUCAUAGCGAUAACGACAUAUCAAAGAUAUGUCGCUAUGACAUCUAAAAACAGCGACCCUUUAAGACAUGGGGACUUUGUGGUGGAUUUGUCCUUAGCAUAAAAUGAUGGUACGUGUGACGAUAAUCCAAAGGACACAAAACAUGAUGGCUACGCAGCGAUACAUCUCCCUUUAAUGUUUCUACAAUUGAGGCAGAGAAAGAUGGUGGUACCAUGACCAAUAAGACAUGCAUGUCAGAAGUCCAUCUCCAUCCAUCCUGACAUUGACUUGUCCACACAACCGGCAGGUAAAGAAAGAUUUCAGUAGAAAAUUCCUCACAAUCGCUGACAUUUCAUCAUUGGUCAUGGAUCACAGCUUGACUGAUGUCAUCAGAAUAAGUUUGAGACACCAGAUGGACAUUUCACACACCCCAGCCCUCAGCUGUAGAACAAGCAUAGCAUUAGGCUUCUGACAUCACCACCGCUCCACCAAUAAAUCUGUCUACUUUUUGUAAGAAUAUAUUUUUAAACAUUUUAAAAAGUUAAAUUGCGUUGAAAAUACUUUUCUUGUAGUUCUUUCAAAUGAGGCAUUUAAUGAAGAAAAAAAAAAUGGAAGACUCUGAAGAUGAAAAGAUGGGUGGCAGGGUAAGCGGUCA